Molecule: ribosomal RNA, 261 nt
Filed under: uncultured Lactococcus sp.
Lineage: Bacteria; Bacillati; Bacillota; Bacilli; Lactobacillales; Streptococcaceae
Description: partial 16S ribosomal RNA
Rfam family: Bacterial small subunit ribosomal RNA
Source: RNAcentral
UACUUGUACCGACUGGAUGAGCAGCGAACGGGUGAGUAACGCGUGGGGAAUCUGCCUUUGAGCGGGGGCAACAUUUGGAACGAAUGCUAUACCGCAUAACACUUUAACACAGUUUAAGUUUGAAGAUGCAAUUGCAUCACUCAAAGAUGAUCCCGCGUUGUAUUAGCUAGUUGGUGAGGUAAAGGCUCACCAAGGCGAUGAUACAUAGCCGACCUGAGAGGGUGAUCGGCCACAUUGGGACUGAGACACGGCCCAAACUCC